UCUGUGACAGGGUAAAUGAGUCAGAAAGUUUCUGAUUCAGCCACUAAUGAAACUGGAGAAGGCUCAUUAAAGGCACUAACGAGCUUUGCCUUUCACCUCAUGCUGUCUGGACUUUCUCCUGCACUUCAGCUGCCAUAGUGGGCCCUGUGCUCCUCAUGUGAGAGCUGUAAGGUGGACCCACUGAGGCUGAGCACAUGAAGAAAGGAAGCCUUCUUUCAAGAAUCCACCCUGAAGGCCCUGGAGAUGACCCAGCCAUGGACUACCACAGUUUCAGCAGUGUAGGAGCCAGAGGGCCGAGAGCCUACCAGGGCGAGAAGAGCAAACCAGACAUGUGGCUUGGUUUUAACCAGUCUGGACAAGUUGUUUCAUUGGAUGGAUGCGCUCUAUCCCCAGUAGAAGAGAUCACACUGGACCAAGAUCACGGGACUCCACAGCACUCUGUUAUUCUAUGAAGUGGCUUAAGUACAGGAAUCUUACUGGACUGCAUUGGCAGGAUUCUCAGCAAUGAGCACUCUCUGCUAAAUUAACUGACACUGAGACCCUGGAGGAGGACAGAAUCACAAUAUGACACUGAACGAAACUGUGGAAGUUUCAACCAGAGUAUGUUUAUGUUUAUUAGUAUGAGAAAUAAAUUUCUAUCUCACUAAGUCA
Ictidomys tridecemlineatus (thirteen-lined ground squirrel) is the source of this 651-nucleotide non-coding RNA. Lineage: Eukaryota; Metazoa; Chordata; Mammalia; Rodentia; Sciuridae. The record is from RefSeq and is a predicted model, not a curated record.